Molecule: long non-coding RNA, 1134 nt
Filed under: Chloebia gouldiae (Gouldian finch)
Lineage: Eukaryota; Metazoa; Chordata; Aves; Passeriformes; Passeridae
Description: Erythrura gouldiae (Gouldian finch) lncRNA (ENSEGOG00005008441.1)
Source: RNAcentral
AUGGCAGAAGAUGUCCGGAGUGCUGGGCAUGGAGCCGGGGCUCUCUGGUACCCUGGACUGACUCCUUUUUUUGGCUGGCACCGUGCCCCACCCUGCCCGGGGCACGGAGCAUCCUCUGGGCAGCGUUUUGGGCACAAGAGAGAGAGAGAGCCCUGCUUUGCUCUCUGCUGGCCCCUUGCAGCUCUGCAGCAGCCGUGGGCAGCCCUGCAGCCCCUGCUCUGCCCUUUGCAGGAGUGCUCAGAGCGUUGCAUUUUGGAGCAUUGCAGCUCCAGAGCAGCCGCGGGCAGCCCUGCAGCCCCUGCUCUGCCAGCAGCCCCUCUGCCCUUUGCAAAAAGAGUGCUCAGAGUGUUGCAGCUCUGGAGUGUUGCAGCUUGGAGCAUUGCAUCUCUAGAGCAGCUGUGGGCAGCCCUGCAGCCCCUGCUCUGCCAGCAGCCGCUCUGCUCUUUGCAAAAGUACUCAGAGCGUUGCAUUUCAGAGCAUUGCAGCUGGGAGUAUUGCAACUCUGGAGCAGCUGUGACCAGCCCUGCAGCAGGGAUGCAGGUCCUCUUUGCAGCAGGAGUGCUCAGAGCAUUGCAGCUCUGGAGCAGCCGUGGCCGCUCUGCCCUUCGCAGCAGGAGUGCUCCGGAGUGUUGCAGCUCCGGAGUGUUGCAGCUCCGGAGUGUUGCAGCUCCGGAGCGUUGCAGCUCCAGAGCAGCCAUGGCCAGCCCCGCAGCCCCUGCUCUGCCAGCAGCAGCUCUGCUUUUUGCAGAAGGAGUUCUCCGAGUGUUGCAGCUUGGAGCAUUGCAGCUCUUCAGCUCCCCCGGCACGGCCAAGGGCUCCUUGGAUCUGCACGGGUGCCGGCCUCUCUGUUCUCCCAAGCCGAGAUCUGCAAGCUCUGUUCUCAUCACUGCCCCGUCUUCUCCCCAGCUCCAUUUAGAGAGAGUUUUCCGUCACCUCUCUGCUGUUAUUUCCUCUGUCUCGUUCUCCUGUGGAGUUUUUCCUGCCCUGCCCAAUGGACUGGGCUCCACUCCAGCUCCGAGCUCCCAGCCCUGUGCAGGCACCCAGGGCAGGAAUGAGACAACUUCCAGAACUGCUCCUGGGAAAAGUGAGGUUUUUUUACAAGGAAAGGCCUCACUGUCAAAGGAAAUUGAGUGA